RNAcentral lists this ribosomal RNA (253 nucleotides) under uncultured bacterium. Its description in RNAcentral is "partial 16S ribosomal RNA". It matches the Rfam family "Bacterial small subunit ribosomal RNA", at positions 524 to 776 of the family's 1533-position model. The record is from RNAcentral.
UACAUGGGGUGCAAACGUUGCUCGGAAUUAUUGGGCGUAAAGCGCACGUAGGCGGUUUGUUAAGUCGGAUGUGAAAUCCCCCGGCUCAACUGAGGAAGUGCAUCCGAAACUGGCAAGCUUGAGUACGAAAGAGGGUCGCGGAAUUCCCGGUGUAGAGGUGAAAUUCGUAGAUAUCGGGAGGAACACCGGUGGCGAAGGCGGCGACCUGGGUCGAUACUGACGCUGAGGUGCGAAAGCGUGGGGAGCAAACAGG